This 206-nucleotide unclassified non-coding RNA is filed under the name Hevea brasiliensis (rubber tree). The record is from RNAcentral. Lineage: Eukaryota; Viridiplantae; Streptophyta; Magnoliopsida; Malpighiales; Euphorbiaceae.
GGAUGAAGCAAUUCACAAUCUCAUCUUCACCAUGGGAUUCAACGCCUACGGUGGUUUCAGUCUCUUCUUCCCGGUUCUACUCGAUCGGAUACUCAACGACAAAACCGGUUUACAACAGAGAAUCCUCGAGGAAGUCAAGGCAAAAACCGGCUCCGGUCUGACAUUCGAGUCAGUCAAGGAGAUGGAUCUCAUCUACUCCGUCGUUU